GACGGUGGUGAGGACUCCGUAGUUCACUUUGUAUUUGUUCAUGGCGCCAGCCACGGUGCUUGGUGUUGGUAUAAACUGACCACUCUUCUUGCCGCCGCCGGUUUCAAAGCCACCUCUGUCGACCUCACCGGAGCUGGCAUCAACCUCACCGACUCUAACACCGUCGUCGACUUCGACCAGUAUAACCGUCCUCUCUUCUCUCUCCUGUCAGAUCUCCCUCCUCACCACAAGAUCAUACUCGUGGGACAUAGCAUCGGCGGAGGAAGUGUCACUGAAGCUCUAUGCAAGUUCACAGACAAAAUCUCCAUGGUCGUUUACCUCGCGGCUGACAUGGUUCAACCCGGAUCCACCU
Molecule: long non-coding RNA, 352 nt
Filed under: Brassica napus (rape)
Lineage: Eukaryota; Viridiplantae; Streptophyta; Magnoliopsida; Brassicales; Brassicaceae
Description: long non-coding RNA (BNAP_LNC000341)
Source: RNAcentral